GCACGCAAGAGGCCCUUCAGGCAGACAUGAGCCCUAUAAACAAACCACCAGCCUCAGGGAGCCCAAGAUCAUAAGGGCACAGCAAAAAUAUGUUUAGCAUGUUUGUCAUGUUGGCAUUCUGAGUCCUCUAGAGCUAAAGUAAAUAGAAGACUACAGAGAUAAGGCUUGCUUUUUACCCACUUUGAGAAUGUGACAUCUUUUCCAUGGCCAACCUGUCAUUGAGUGUGUCAGCCUGUUGGAAGUUCCUGUCCAGAGGAAAGGAGCAGAGCUACUGACAAGAUCUCACCUAGGUGGGAGGAUUUCUUUCACCACCCUUACAACAGCUCUGGAGUCCUAAGGUUAGCUCCAAACCCUAACUUUUGAGAAGAGGGGCAAGAAAGCCAGGCGGAGUAGAAAACUGGAAAGCAA
This is a long non-coding RNA of Mastomys coucha (southern multimammate mouse), 408 nucleotides long. RefSeq lists it as uncharacterized. Lineage: Eukaryota; Metazoa; Chordata; Mammalia; Rodentia; Muridae. The transcript is spliced from 3 exons. The record is from RefSeq and is a predicted model, not a curated record.